Molecule: long non-coding RNA, 458 nt
Organism: Macadamia integrifolia
Lineage: Eukaryota; Viridiplantae; Streptophyta; Magnoliopsida; Proteales; Proteaceae
Exons: 2
Source: RefSeq, a predicted model, not a curated record
CCAAAUCAAAAGAGAAAGAGCUUACCUUGUCUAGCAAUGGAGGAUAGGCGGUUGCAUUUUCCGGCGAAGGUGGAGAGGAGGCUUCAUUUACUUUGGGUGUGCUUAGGAUGUUUCUGUUGGUGGAUUUUUCUAGGGUUUGAUCAGAUCGUCUGUGGGAACAGUUCUGUGGUACCAUUGAAGGUCCUUCAGCUGCGACUCUCCCAUCCAAAAGGUGAUAGUUCUUAAUAGUCCAAUCAAGGAAGACAAAAGAAGAUCAGAUUGCAGUGGACUGUCUUUGUUGCUCGAGAAACCUUCAGUUUAACAUACCUCAACAAGCAUCUGUAGCUUUAGGAACUAUUUCUCUUUUCUUUGUUUAUGUUUCUGGCAACAUUGAAGCUGGUACAGUAUUGUUGAUAUGGUAAAUUUGAUCAUUAUCUGGGCAUCAUUUCAAUGAAGCUAGGGCAGUACUUGUUCAGUGA